GCCUCGAUAGCUCAGUCGGUAGAGCAGAGGAUUGAAAAUCCUCGUGUCGGUGGUUCGAUUCCAUUAUUUGGUGCG
This 75-nucleotide transfer RNA is filed under the name Vibrio parahaemolyticus. RNAcentral's name for it is "tRNA-Phe". The stretch from base 8 to 65 matches the Rfam family "tRNA", at positions 8 to 63 of the family's 71-position model. Rfam says of the family: Transfer RNA (tRNA) molecules are approximately 80 nucleotides in length. Their secondary structure includes four short double-helical elements and three loops (D, anti-codon, and T loops). The record is from RNAcentral. Lineage: Bacteria; Pseudomonadati; Pseudomonadota; Gammaproteobacteria; Vibrionales; Vibrionaceae.